AUUUGCUGUGGGCAAAUGAAAUGGAUGUGACUAUCAAUGCCACCGGCGGUCACAAUCAUGCCUUCAGCAGCGAUGAUUUCGGUCGAAGCGCCAAUAAUGAUGGUCACUGCAGGUUGCACAUCCGGGUUGCCCGCUUUGCCAAUGCCACUGAUGCGCCCGUCUUUGAUGCCAAUGUCGGCUUUGACGAUGCCCCACCAGUCAAUAAUCAGGGCAUUGGUCAAGACCGUAUCGGCGCACGCCUCACUGGUGCGCUGUGACUGACCCAUGCCAUCAC
RNAcentral lists this small RNA (274 nucleotides) under marine eukaryotic metagenome. Its description in RNAcentral is "5' ureB small RNA". It matches the Rfam family "5' ureB small RNA". The record is from RNAcentral.